This 277-nucleotide unclassified non-coding RNA is filed under the name air metagenome. RNAcentral's name for it is "partial contains small subunit ribosomal RNA, internal transcribed spacer 1, and 5.8S ribosomal RNA". The stretch from base 1 to 46 matches the Rfam family "Eukaryotic small subunit ribosomal RNA", at positions 1786 to 1831 of the family's 1831-position model. The record is from RNAcentral.
AAGUCGUAACAAGGUUUCCGUAGGUGAACCUGCGGAAGGAUCAUUAACGAGUAACUGAACAGGUUGUAGCUGGCCUCUAGGGGCAUGUGCACGCCUGGCUCAUCCACUCUUCAACCUCUGUGCACUUGUUGUAGGUCGGUGGAAAGGCUCAAGUUGACUUUUGUUAACUUGCGCUCGGAAGCCUUCCUAUGUCUUUACAAACGCUUCAGUUUAAGAAUGUAAUCUCUGCGUAUAACGCAUUUAUAUACAACUUUCAGCAACGGAUCUCUUGGUUCUC